AGCUAUUUCCCUUUAUGCAAAUUAGUACAGCUUCUCAUUGGUAAAAAGGGCAGGCGCCUUUAUAUCUGAAUGUGCAACCCAGAGAGCUACUCAGCACAGAAAUCACCAUGAAGGAUAUAUUUUCUCUUCUGAUCCUGAUGAAACUUGUUUCAUGUGUCAUCUGUCAGAUUACUUUGGACCAACCUGGCUCUGCAGUUGUGAAUCCAUCAGGAACCCUUAAACUUUCCUGUAAAGUCUCAGUGUCUGUAAGUAGUGCACCCUGGGCAUGGAUCUGGCAGGCUCCUGGGAAAGGACUGGUGUAUAUGGGGUAUUUAGGCAGCAGCGGGAGCUCUAACCCAGCCUCCUCAUUUCAAAGUCGAGUCACUUACACCAGGGACACCUCAAAGAACGAAAUUUACUUACAAAUGACCAGUAUGAAAAGCGAAGACUCUGGGACAUAUUACUGUGCAAGAUACACAGUGACAGAAGGAAGUGAAAACUGAUUUUAAAACCUCAUCCUGAGAUGAGAAGAGUGGUUGCUGAAACGCAGAACAUAAAAAUAGGGCUUAUGGAC
This is a non-coding RNA of Xenopus tropicalis (tropical clawed frog), 553 nucleotides long. Lineage: Eukaryota; Metazoa; Chordata; Amphibia; Anura; Pipidae. The record is from the annotation of a RefSeq genome assembly.